This 494-nucleotide ribosomal RNA is filed under the name uncultured bacterium. RNAcentral describes it as "partial 16S ribosomal RNA". It matches the Rfam family "Bacterial small subunit ribosomal RNA", at positions 29 to 507 of the family's 1533-position model. The record is from RNAcentral.
ACGAACGCUGGCGGCGUGCCUAAUACAUGCAAGUAGAACGCUGAAGGAGGAGCUUGCUCUUCUGGAUGAGUUGCGAACGGGUGAGUAACGCGUAGGUAACCUGCCUGGUAGCGGGGGAUAACUAUUGGAAACGAUAGCUAAUACCGCAUAACAGUAGAUGUUGCAUGACAUUUGCUUAAAAGGUGCAAUUGCACCACUACCAGAUGGACCUGCGUUGUAUUAGCUAGUUGGUGGGGUAACGGCUCACCAAGGCGACGAUACAUAGCCGACCUGAGAGGGUGAUCGGCCACACUGGGACUGAGACACGGCCCAGACUCCUACGGGAGGCAGCAGUAGGGAAUCUUCGGAAAUGGACGGAAGUCUGACCGAGCAACGACGCGUGAGUGAAGAAGGUUGUCGGAUCGUAAAGCUCUGUUGUAAGAGAAGAACGAGUGUGAGAGUGGAAAGUUCACACUGUGACGGUAUCUUACCAGAAAGGGACGGCUAACUACGUG